Molecule: ribosomal RNA, 1029 nt
Filed under: uncultured archaeon
Lineage: Archaea
Description: bacterial SSU rRNA
Rfam family: Archaeal small subunit ribosomal RNA
Source: RNAcentral
CCUAUGGGGUGCAGCAGGCGCGAAACCUCCGCAACGCGGGCAACCGUGACGGGGUCACCCCGAGUGCCCCCUAUAAGGGGGCUUUUCCCCGCUGUAGGAAGGCGGGGGAAUAAGCGGGGGGCAAGUCUGGUGUCAGCCGCCGCGGUAAUACCAGCCCCGCGAGUGGUCGGGACGGUUAUUGGGCCUAAAGCGCCCGUAGCCGGCCUGGUAAGUCCCCCUCUAAAUCCCCGGGCUCAACCCGGGGGUUGGGGGGGAUACUGCCAGGCUAGGGGGCGGGAGAGGCCGAGGGUACUCCCGGGGUAGGGGCGAAAUCCUAUAAUCCCGGGAGGACCACCAGUGGCGAAGGCGCUCGGCUGGAACGCGCCCGACGGUGAGGGGCGAAAGCCGGGGGAGCGAACCGGAUUAGAUACCCGGGUAGUCCCGGCUGUAAACGAUGCGGGCUAGGUGUUGGGCGGGCUUAGAGCCCGCCCAGUGCCGCAGGGAAGCCGUUAAGCCCGCCGCCUGGGGAGUACGGCCGCAAGGCUGAAACUUACAGGAAUUGGCGGGGGAGCACCACAAGGGGUGGAGCCUGCGGUUUAAUUGGAGUCAACGCCGGGAACCUCACCGGGGGCGACAGCAGGAUGACGGCCAGGCUAACGGCCUUGCCCGACGCGCUGAGAGGAGGUGCAUUGGCCGUCGCCAGCUCGUGCCGUGAGGUGUCCGGUAAAGUCUGGCAACGAGCGAGACCCCCGCCCCUAGUUGCUACCCGGGGCUCCGGCCCCGGGGCACACUAGGGGGACUGCCGCCGUCCAAGGCGGAGGAAGGAGGGGGCCACGGCAGGUCAGCAUGCCCCGAAUCCCCCGGGCUACGCGCGGGCUACAAUGGCGGGGACAGCGGGAUCCGACCCCGAAAGGGGGAGGCAAUCCCUCAAACCCCGCCGCAGUUGGGAUCGAGGGCUGCAACUCGCCCUCGUGAACGUGGAAUCCCUAGUAACCGCGCGUCAUCAUCGCGCGGUGAAUACGUCCCUGCUCCUUGCACUCACCGCCCGUC